RNAcentral lists this ribosomal RNA (506 nucleotides) under Fusarium oxysporum f. sp. lycopersici. Its description in RNAcentral is "eukaryotic LSU rRNA". The stretch from base 159 to 312 matches the Rfam family "5.8S ribosomal RNA". The record is from RNAcentral. Lineage: Eukaryota; Fungi; Ascomycota; Sordariomycetes; Hypocreales; Nectriaceae.
GGGAUCAUUACCGAGUUUACAACUCCCAAACCCCUGUGAACAUACCACUUGUUGCCUCGGCGGAUCAGCCCGCUCCCGGUAAAACGGGACGGCCCGCCAGAGGACCCCUAAACUCUGUUUCUAUAUGUAACUUCUGAGUAAAACCAUAAAUAAAUCAAAACUUUCAACAACGGAUCUCUUGGUUCUGGCAUCGAUGAAGAACGCAGCAAAAUGCGAUAAGUAAUGUGAAUUGCAGAAUUCAGUGAAUCAUCGAAUCUUUGAACGCACAUUGCGCCCGCCAGUAUUCUGGCGGGCAUGCCUGUUCGAGCGUCAUUUCAACCCUCAAGCACAGCUUGGUGUUGGGACUCGCGUUAAUUCGCGUUCCUCAAAUUGAUUGGCGGUCACGUCGAGCUUCCAUAGCGUAGUAGUAAAACCCUCGUUACUGGUAAUCGUCGCGGCCACGCCGUUAAACCCCAACUUCUGAAUGUUGACCUCGGAUCAGGUAGGAAUACCCGCUGAACUUAAGC